AUGACGCAUUGUACGUUACAGUCACUUUAUAAACACUUAUUCUUACCUCUCUCAAACAUUUUGAGAAGUUUCAAAUACAAUGGCCAGAACAAGGAAAGAAACAACUAUACAUAUAUCGAGCUCUUCGAAGAAGAAACCAAAAUAUUUUAGCAGACAACACUAGCUGUUCAUGUAGACAAAUGACUUGCUACUUCAAGCAACAUGGGAUUCCAUUUCAUCACCACUUUAUCACAGCACCUUCCAUCUAUUUAUCUUGUCCUGUCGACCUCAGAUUCUUCUGAGCUACAGAUCUUAAGUUUUGAUCUCAAGAGUUUUAUCUAUCACGUUUCAGGCGUUCUUGAUGAGUUUUGAUCUCAUGUUCUUUAACUAAUGUACAUAGAAACAUGUUGAGCAAGAACAGCAUUAAAAGCUUUACCUUAGAGGAAGAAUCUUUCUUUUUGGAUGAGUCUGACUUUUUCUCUUGAUUCUUAAACAUGUCGGAAAAGGCAUCAAAUCCAAAAGGCCCUCCAUGUCCAAAGGAUGAGAGACUAGUAGUCGCCGCCUUAGCAGCAAGUGGAUAGAAUGCAGGAGAGGAAAACUUAGGUUUUUCCGCUCCAGCACAGGGGCUGUCCGAGAGCGAGACAACAUCAUCAUGACCAUGGAAAAGCCUAAAUGCAGGGUCAAACAGUUUCCGUGUAUGGUCUAAGGACGCAUGUUCUUCCAGUUUACGUCUACGAUAUACAGAAAGUGAUGCGGCCAUUAGUCGAGACACUCGUGGCUUUCCUGUUUUCUUUCUCAAACCUUUUUUUCAUUGAUCACGUUCUUGGCUUCUCACUUGCAUAUGUUUUCUUAAAAGAAAAAAUGAAUUCCAUAUCCUAUGAUAUGACUAAUUAAAUGUGUUUUAGAUGUAAUAUGAUAAAAUAAUAAUAAUAAUAAUAUGUUUUAUAGUAUCAAGAAAAGUUAUAAUUUGACUUCAUUGCAAUUAAAACAAAUAAUGCAGUGUUUUACUUAUAUUUAUAUCAACUUUUAUAUAUUACUUGCUAAUUUAUAAUUUUAAUAUGACUAUAUACUUGCAUAAGAUUUUUUUUUAAAAAAUAUUUAAUAUCUUAUCAAAUUAUUUUCUUUUUGAAUCAGUCUACCUCGAGCUGGUAAAAUUGAUUAUUUUUGUAGUUAUUAAUCAAUUAAAUAUUAAUAUAUAGAGUUUCUACUGUAAUUCCAAGUUAUAUCUUUUUAUUUUAUUCAAUCAGCCGAGUCUUUACAUCAUUCAAAAAAAAUUGUACUUAAUUAUGAUUUUAUUCUUGUUUAUCUAAAACAUAUAUAUAUAUAUAUAUUAAAUACAAUUGCCGAAAGUAAGUCAGAGAAAAAAACAAUUUCAGCAUUCAAAGAAAUAUAAAAAUGUUUUAGCAGACUACACUAGUUGUUUCUGUAGAACAGGAUAUCGAUUUGCUAUUUAUUAUUUAAUUAGAAUAAUAAUAAUACGGAAAUAUUUGAAAUAUAUAAUUAUAGACUUUUCUUCUGGAAAUUUUAAAGAUGGCGUUUGGGUUUACAAAUGGCGUCACAUUCUACUUUGAUGCUUCGGCACUGUUUUGGUUUUGAGUUACAACACCAUUUAGAAUCAUGUUCUCUGUAGCAAUAUGGUCCCCGAGCAUCAACUUUUAAGUUAGCACCUGUAUAAUUAAAAUUAAAAAUUAAAAAUGAUAAAGAAAAUGAUUAUGUUUUUAAAGGUAUGAUGAUAAAAUAUUGGAUAAAAAGUUAACUAUAUAUAAUACUAGGUCCGGUCCGCGCAUAUUUAGAUUUUGAUAUUUUAAUAUAUGUAUUUAUAGUUAUAUGAAUAUUAUACGACAUAUGAUGCAUUUUUAGUGUUAAUAGGUUGUCGAUUCAAAAUUUUUAAUUAGCUAAUUGCAGAUUUGCUGAAUUUAUAACUCUGGAAGGCUUUGUUGCUUUAACUUUUCUUCAACAACACUUAGGCACUGAGAUAUUUGAUUCGGUAAAACCAGAGCCGUGCGAAGUUCUUUUGAUGCCAUAAGCCAAAAAAAAUCUUUAGUCAAGCCAAAUAUGUUCAUAGUUUUUAACUAAAUGUUUCCACUUAAAUAACAAAUAUAUUUUCAUGUAACAAAACUAAAUAAUUACCAAACUUUAUUAGUUUAUAUCUAACUUAAAAAAAAUAUUUAUAGUUUUUAAAUAAAAUUGUAACAUUCAAAUUUAGUCUUUAAUAUAAAUAAUGAAUUUAGAAUAGAUAGUAAUAUACUGAGAAAAGCUAAUUCUAAUAAUUUUAUUAGGGAAUUUGGUUGAUGACAAAUAUGUUUUCUCUAAAUUAAUAUUAAGAUUGAAAAAAAUUGAGGUGAAAUAUAAUUAAUUAAUUUUAGAAUUAGAGUUGUGAUGAUAGCAAAAGAUUUCUAAUAAUCUAUAUUAUAUUAAAAGGGAUAUAUAAGCUCCAUACAGCAUGUCUACGUAGGACAAUUAAAUCAUCCAAUUAUAGAGUUCCGUUUUGACAGGUCAUCUACUCAACACAAAAACGGACCUCUACAUAGUCUGUUAGGUAUUUUGUGUUAGCCCAUCAGACCAAUUCUCCUGUUCACGAGUGUCGAUAUGUUUUGUCUCUUCCACUUCUCCAUUUUUUUUUAGCGUUGCCGAUUCUUUCACCUCUCUUUUUUUUUUCUCUUAUCUAAUAAAACCUUUCACCAAUGAAUCCAGAACAACCAUCUAUCUCUUCCCUCAUCAUAACCUUCUUCUUAAUCUUCUACUUUUUCUCCCACAUUCGAUUGUUCCUGCAGAAACAACCUUAAACAGUAACAAUCGUCCAAACACAACACUCAUAUCCGAGCAAAUCAAACUUUGGUGGCCUUUUCUCAUCAAACCGACCGAGUAAAUAUAACUUAUUUUUCAGCAUCCAAGUAGCUAAGAGAUUCGAAAAUUUUCAGAUGGGUGAAGACCGGAGAGGAAACAAUUUCUCGCCAAACAACUGAGGUGUAUCUGAUGAGUCUGGUUACCUGGUGUUCCCGAUCACGACGCGAUUGAUAACCGGAGGAGGAGGACGGUUGGAGAUUAAUAGCAGAAACGGAAUCGAAGAUGAGGAUGAAGAAGAUGAGGAGGAAGAAGAUCGAGGGGAGGUGUUCCCGAUCACAAUGCGAUCGAUAACCGGACGUAACCAGAUUCUCGAUUGGAUAUAGGGCCUCUUGUGAGUUAUUUUAUCUUUUCUCCGAAACAGUAGACGAUCAAGCUUCCAUGCGUUCAUGAUAUGAUAUUAACUCAAGCUUUAAUUCAGGUCUUCAUGGCUGCAUCAAAACACGAGUAACUCUUUAGUCCUCAUCUCUCAUCUUUAAAUUUUUAUUUCGUUUGAUAUACUGUGAGAAUUUUCUUGCUGCAGAUCUAAGAAGGCUCUGUAAAAUGAUUUUGUGAGCCCAGUUUCAAUCCCUAUUACCGCUUAAGAAUCAGUGGAUUGGAAGCGGCAGUGCUUAAAGUCUUGGUAGAUCGACGAUUCGUUUCCAGUGUGAAACCAGAAGCAAGCCAUGGAGGUUCUUGAUAUCAGCGUCAGAUAGACUGGUAUACAUGUGUGAUUAUUUAGACGAUAUUGAUCGAAGCCAGGUACUUGCAAACAUAGCGGUGUUGGCAAGGGGAUGAAGCUUCUAGAUUAAAUGAGUGCAUUGUUAAGGCUCUUCUUACAGUGAGGAAGUCAUCUUCAGAAGACACCACUCCUUUCUUGCAACUCUGUCAUUUCAAUAAAUUUAUCGCUUAAAAGAUAGUAUUGUAGGUUAGACCAUUCUGAGAAUUUCAAGAGCUUCACUUGGAAGAACGUCCUCAACUCCUCCAAGAGGUUGCUGUCGGGGAGCAAUGUUGUAGACAUCGAGAAGGUGUUUAGAAAUGAUACCUUUUUUAAAAGUAGGAGUCACGUGCAAAACAGAAGGUGAUAGUUCAAGCUUUGAUCACUCUGAAACUUUCCAAUUGACUUUUAGGCGCUAUUCCUCACUCUCCUUACCACAAAGAGGAAGGCCUAUGGGUACGUCUUGCGGAGUCAAACGACGUAUGGUUCUUUCAGAAGGUUAGUUUCAUGGAUGAAGCUAAAGCUAUACACACUUCUUCAAGUGUUGUUAGUUAGGCAAUGAAAAGUUUAGGAGCAAGCAUCGAGGCAAAGAACAAUGAAGUUAGAGAAGGUUAAAAGCCGCUCAAGAUUGGUGACGGUGAAACACUAAAGACCUGCAGCAGAUACUAAUAAUUUGACUUGCUUAUGAGUUCUGCCUAAGAACUAGUGAUUUGGAGGGUCAAGUUGCAGAAGAAGGUAUGGAGGAGGAAGAAGAAAAUGAGAAUGAAGAGAAUUAGGAAAGCAAAUAUAGUGAGGAAGAGGAAGAUAAUAAGAAAGGGUCAAAGGAAGUAAACGAGAUGGGGUCGAGUUCCAACGAGUCGGUAUCAAAUUAAGAUUGAAAAACAAAAAGGCAUUAUACUUGCACAGUGUAGAUUUUACCUCCAAAAUUUAUACAGUAAUACUCAAUGACUUUAGCCUGUUACUUUUUCUUCUACUGAUUUCGUAGACGUUUUGGAUAUUUUUAGUUUUGACAUUUGUUACUCUUCAAUUUAUGUCUUGAUCUGAUU
Molecule: long non-coding RNA, 4566 nt
Organism: Brassica napus (rape)
Lineage: Eukaryota; Viridiplantae; Streptophyta; Magnoliopsida; Brassicales; Brassicaceae
Exons: 4
Source: RefSeq, a predicted model, not a curated record